Molecule: ribosomal RNA, 468 nt
Filed under: uncultured bacterium
Lineage: Bacteria
Description: partial 16S ribosomal RNA
Rfam family: Bacterial small subunit ribosomal RNA
Source: RNAcentral
GACGAACGCUGGCGGCGUGCUUAACACAUGCAAGUCGAACGGAAAGGCCCUGCUUUUGUGGGGUGCUCGAGUGGCGAACGGGUGAGUAACACGUGAGUAACCUGCCCUUGACUUUGGGAUAACUUCAGGAAACUGGGGCUAAUACCGGAUAGGAGCUCCUGCUGCAUGGUGGGGGUUGGAAAGUUUCGGCGGUUGGGGAUGGACUCGCGGCUUAUCAGCUUGGUGGUGGGGUAGUGGCUUACCAAGGCUUUGACGGGUAGCCGGCCUGAGAGGGUGACCGGCCACAUUGGGCCUGAGAUACGGCCCAGACUCGUACGGGAGGCAGCAGUGGAGAAUAUUGCACAAUAAGCGGAAGCCUGAUGCAGCAACGCCGCGUGCGGGAUGACGGCCUUCGGGUUGUAAACCGCUUUCGCCUGUGACGAAGCGUGAGUGACGGUAAUGGGUAAGGAAGCACCGGCUAACUACGUG